This 68-nucleotide transfer RNA is filed under the name Marmota monax (woodchuck). RNAcentral's name for it is "tRNA.Ala". The record is from RNAcentral. Lineage: Eukaryota; Metazoa; Chordata; Mammalia; Rodentia; Sciuridae.
GGAUUGUGGCUCAGUGGUAGAGCACUCGCCUAGCAUGUGUGGGGUUCAGGGUUCGAUCCUCAUCACCA